UAACCAAUCCAGCUUGCUGGGUCUUGGGUACCGCCUCCUGGCGGGCCUUAAAAUCAGUGGCGGUACGGCCGGGCUCUGAGCGUAGUAAAUCUUCUCGCUACAGGGUCCCGGGCGGCACUGGCCAGCAACCCCCAAUCUUUCACA
This 144-nucleotide unclassified non-coding RNA is filed under the name Tricladium varicosporioides. Its description in RNAcentral is "Hymenoscyphus varicosporioides partial internal transcribed spacer 2". The record is from RNAcentral. Lineage: Eukaryota; Fungi; Ascomycota; Leotiomycetes; Helotiales; Tricladiaceae.